ACCCAAAGGUCUGAUUUUUUGUGUGUGCUUCGGCACUAAGAAUUAUCCCCGUGGGUUUACAGCUUCGUUGCACGGAGGAGUUCUGCUGCGCAGAGAACCCGCGUGCAGGGGGUGUUCCCGCCACUUUGCAGCGGUCUUUGCAGGGUGCAUUUCCUUUGCAACACAGAAAUGCACGGUGCAAAGAGUUCCCGUUCAUCGUAUGCAAAUUCGUGCCCCGCAAUUGGCUAGUGCUAAAUUAUUCACACGUGGCGGCUAGCGAUUGGCCUGCUAGCCGUAUAAGAGGCUUGAGCAGUUUCCGCCCAAGCCGAAGAGGACUCCGCAUCCAUCUCGUGGGGACUCUGGGUGUGCGGCAGGGUAAUAGAAACCCUGUGUGUCGUUCAGAGUUUGGCGGCCUGAUCCACCGCCCACCUCUUCCCGUCUUCAAACGGAGCCUACUAUAAGACGUAUCGACGAGUUUUAUGCGCGCUUGUCCUGGACAUCCGGAGUUCUGUCUGCGUGGAGCCUAGCAACCUCCACGUGAUUGUUCGUGUUUUGUCUGCGUGGAGCCUAGCAACCUCCACGUGUGUUCGUGUUUUCUGUUGUAACCGUAACUCAAGCAAGUUCUCAGCCUACACCACGACCGUCUCGGUGUAAGUAAACAAUCUUAAAAUCAACCGUUAUGUGUCUGUGCCUAAUUCUAGCUCGGCGACCUCCCUCUCCGACCCGGCCUGCCCGGGCUGCCGGCCACAGCCCGUGUGCAGAGCGACGAAAAGGGCCCGGGGCCUGACCCGGCCCACACAUGGUGACGAGGAUGGGAUCGGGAUCACUGCCGCACAUGAUGGGAUCGGGAUCACCGCGGCACAUGCCGAUGGGAUUAGGAGAGGGCUCGCUAGAGUUAGAAUUAGUUGAGAACUGGCCUUGGAGAAGUGGGAGACGCAGCAUAGCAAGCGUCGCAGAACUGGAGGCGCACAUUGCGUACCACCAGGCGGGCGGAACGGGCAGGAGAUGUGUCCGUGGACACCUUUCGCUAAGGGGAGAAGAAGGAGCUUCCGAAGUCGGAGCCCUAGAAGGGAAAGAAGUAUAUCUUCACCCCGCGGCGUUCGGGUGUAUCAUGGGCGAUGAGCGGGUCCUGUAUAGGCCCCUCGAUGCUGUGACCCUUGCCAAAGUCGACCCGGCGUGCGCAGUAAGCCCGAUCCCCACCCGGGAGUAUGUCCGUUGCUCACUGUGUGCCUGAGAGAUGGGAGAGACGAUGCCAAUUGGCUGGUUCUCCCCUUGCAUGGUGGUGCCUAGACUAAGGAGUCGUGAGCAUCCGUCCGAGCUCCGUGAAGACCCGGAGAUGGAGGACCGCGCCGUAAAUGAGAGAGUGGUCCUACGGUGCGACAAGGGGGGAAAACUAAAUGCAACCUUUCAAACUAUGACUGAUCUGAUGAAUAAAACUUUAAGCUUGAAGACCCAGCUGCGUAUGGCCGUUCAGGCGGUCGGAGAAGCGGCUGAGAGAGGGGAUCUUAAACUGCCCUGACAAGAUGGCGCCGAGCAGAGGGAAGACCGCGUGGAGGAGCCGGAAGUGAGGGAUGGAGCUUCGGGAGAGCCCGCGAGGGUUCGGCCGGUAACUCCGCCCAGCGACGCAGCGUCGAUUCUGCCGACCACGCCCGUUUGCCGACGGGAGGGGGAGUCAAGCGGAGGAAUGCAUCCGCCCCUCCCGCCUGAAACAGCAACAACCCCCGCUGUAACAAUGACUGCAGCUCCGACAGCAACAGCAACAGCAACGACAACUCGCGAAGAAAUUGGUCAGCCUGCAGUAUCGAGCAGCCCAGUCAUCGGUCCGCAGAGUGCAGUUCAAGCUACCACCUACUACGCUCGUUCCAGAGCCGAACUGCAGAAUUUGUGUAGGGAAUCCAGGAUACGAUCCGACGAAACUCUGGCUGUGUGGUUGGGACGUCUGGUCGUGGAGCUUGGGUCCGACCUCCUGGACCAGGAAGAAGCAAGCUUCUUGGUGAGACAAGCUUCAUGGAGUAGGGGACAUGUCAGCGACAUCGACGUGGUGGCGUUUAGCGUCCACUGGCCUAUUCCGAUUCCAGCGCUUGUGGCAGGAGUGAUUGAACAGAAGGCCCACGCAUGGCAUGACAACUGACCAGAGCACACCGGUGCAGAACAGCUUGUACUGGCGAUCAUCGGAGUUUCGUAUUGCGCCUGGAACCCAAGAGAAUGCACGUUGGGACUGACACCGCUCCAACGAAUGCGACCAUGGCCUCAUCGUCACCUGCGAGACCCUGGAACCGUUCCAGUGACUCUCGACAGCAUAGAUAGUUGUCUUAAGGUUUAUGGGCAAAGAAACAUUGUGGUUUUGCGGACUGUGCUGAACCCACUGGUCGAUCAUCCUGUGAGUAGUCUCCUUCAUCAGUUGUCAAGACUGCGCGUCCUAAUGGAGCCAAGACUAUCCAGUGAUCGGGAGUAUCAACGCCCGACUGAGGCUCAGAACACGAAACACCGCGAAUCCGAGCGUCCAGUAUUACGCCAGAGAGCACAAGAGGAGCGAUACAUGUUUGGAUACCUCCUGCAGCGUUCUGGACUUAAUAAGAGACAGCUUCAGAUUUUAGGAGACGCGGGACAAUGGCAGCUAGCCUACGAGUUAGGUUUUCACUAUCUAGAAGAAGGCGACGAUGACUCCUCGACGGUUUCAUCGAGUUCCUGAGUGUGAAGGAAGAGAGAGAGCUGUCCAGUAUAAAAUCGUGUUUACAUAUUUGUAUUUAAUAGUGAUGAUAAGUUUAAUCGACUGCAUUAUCGUGCGGUCCUGUGUGAUUUUGUAAAUAGUAGUGAAUAACCAUUUUAAGAGUUCUUUUACAGAUCAGGGAUUCGGAGAGCGUGGUGGAGAGAGGCCCCGAGAGGGACAACAUCACCGAGAGGAACGAAGGCCUGACGCGUGAUUCCACCAUGACGCCCACCAAAGUCAUGAUCAUUCAGUUUUUUGUUAUGAAUGUGAUUUUAUGUAUAUGUGUGUGUGUCGGUUAUUAUUUGAUUCGAUCCCUUGAGGACGAACUUUUAUUGUUGACUGAUUUUGUUUUUGCUUGUUUAGUUUCGCGAACCAUUGACAGAGCUGUUAAUAACCCGGAUGAUAGGUUUGAAGUAUAAUUCUAUUGUGCCUUCAGCAAGGGGGGAUGUCAUGACCCAAAGGUCUGAUUUUUUUGUGUGUGCUUCGGCACUCGAAUUAUCCCCGUGGGUUUACAGCUUCGUUGCACAGAGGAGUUCUGCUGUGCAGAGAACCCGCGUGCAAGGGGUGUUCCCGCCACUUUGCAGCGGUCUUUGCAGGGUGCAUUUCCUUUGCAACACAGAAAUGCACGGUGCAAAGAGUUCCCGCUCGUCGUAUGCAAAUUCGUGCCCCGCAAUUGGCUAGUUCUAAAUUAUUCACACAUGGCGGCUAGCAAUUGGCCUGCUAGCCGUAUAAGAGGCUUGAGCAGUUUCCGCCCAAGCCGAAAAGGACUCCACAUCCAUCUCGUGGGGACUCUGGGUGUGCGCGGCAGGGUAAUAGAAACCCUGUGUGUUGCUCAGAGGAGUUUGGCGGCCUGAUCCACCGCCCACCUCUUCCCGUCUUCGAACAGAGCCUACUAUAAGACGUACCGAUGAGUUUUAUGCGCACUUGUCCUGGACAUCCGGAGUUUGUCUGCGUGGAGCCUAGCAACCUCCACGUGAUUGUUCGUGUUCUGUCUGCGUGGAGCCUAGCAAACUCCACGUGUGUUCGUGUUUUCUGUUGUAACCGCAACUCAAGCAAGUUCUCAGCCUACACCACGACCAUCUCGGUAUCUAACAAUCCCCUCGGACAAUGUCCAUACACCAGGUCAAAUGGGACACACCCCAAGGACGACUGCGGAGCCUCCCGCGUCGCAAACAACAGCGGUGGAAUCAUCAGGUCCCACUUACGGGGCUCUGCCUGAACACAGCGACGCAGCACAUUCUUCAAGGUCCCACUAAACCUUUCAAGUAACCCAUUGGUUUCGGGGUGGUAUAGUCAUACAUAGUUGUUUCAUUUGCAAUACCCUCCAUAGGCUCCACAGAACCCCUGACAUAAAAAUAAAACCCUUGGUCUGUAACAAUUUCUUUGGGGAGCCCCACUCGGAUGAUCCAUUUGAGAAGUUCUUCUGCCACCCGGGGCACAGUGACGGCUCACAUAGGGACUGCCUCUGGGAACCGGGUCGCAUAAUUUACGAUAACCAAUGUGGAAUCAGAAAAAAUAAAUGCCUUAAACUUUGAUCAUUUGAGUUAUAAGAUGACAUAACCGCUUUGUGGAGAAUUGCUGGCUCUGUACAGUAGAACAGAUAAGGGAAAGUGUUUGUUCUUUGUAACUCCUCUGCAACUGCUUCCCUCACCGCGGCCUUGAAGAUAGCAAAAAGUAUGUACAACUCUGAUUUCCAGGUGCAGGUAGGGAGUGUUAUUUCUCCCUUGUCUCCUCCAUAGUUCUCAUCCUGAUAACAGCAAAGAAGUAAUGAAGUAAUGUUUAUAGCUGCUUUUCUAGCUAAUUUCACUAUAUGAUGACGUGAGUUGUAAGCGACUGUUAAAAAGUAUAUAAGCCUCCUGAUUUUGCUCUUGGGGGGGAACCCCUUCCAAGUGCUUGACAAAUCCAUGUCACUUUGGGGUCCCCCCUACAGCUGUAGUUUCUUUUGAAUAAAAGCUUCUGCUGACCUGA
Molecule: long non-coding RNA, 4657 nt
Organism: Alligator mississippiensis (American alligator)
Lineage: Eukaryota; Metazoa; Chordata; Crocodylia; Alligatoridae
Exons: 2
Source: RefSeq, a predicted model, not a curated record